AAAGGGAAUUCACCUCGUCCUUGAGAGCAACACGGGGAGCGCGAGCGAGCGGGCGAGCGAGAGACGGGGGGAGAGAGAGGGACACGCGCGCGCACACACACACACACCGGCACACACGCACACACACAGACACACACACACAGAGUGAAAAAGGCGAGCCACCAAAACCCAUCUCCAGUCUCCUCCCGGGGGCCCCCAGCCCGCCUCUGUGCCACUUUGCAUCCCACGCCGGAGGAGGCAUUAACGAGACCGGGUAAGGCUUUUUAACCGGUCCAAGGUGUAGAGCCAUACUUCAGGAGGAUCCUCAGAAGUUUUGGACAAGCCUCCCCAAAUGUGGCAGGUGCUGUGCUGGCCAUUGGUGACCCAAAGAUGAUGAAAAAUAUGUUCCUGCCCACAAGGAGUUAGCGACCUACUGGGCUUUCCUCUUGCUGAUGACAUGAUUCCUGUUUGAAUCUGUUGACAAGAUUCUGAAAGCUGAACAGAGAAUUCUGGCACUGCACUGGGUAGGAAAAAGCAUUUCAAGAAAUAGAUAAUAUCAAGGACAUCAGGACACCGGGAGUGGGAGAGAUUGGACUGGGAGACUCAGCAGGUCAGGACGUUUACAUUACCAUUUGCUGGUCAUUCUUUUGCCAUCAGUUUUACAAUUCUCGAAUCUCUUGCCACUUGCUUAUUUCUU
Molecule: long non-coding RNA, 676 nt
Filed under: Pan troglodytes (chimpanzee)
Lineage: Eukaryota; Metazoa; Chordata; Mammalia; Primates; Hominidae
Description: lincRNA
Source: RNAcentral